This is a long non-coding RNA of Macaca fascicularis (crab-eating macaque), 1672 nucleotides long. Lineage: Eukaryota; Metazoa; Chordata; Mammalia; Primates; Cercopithecidae. The record is from Ensembl.
UUUUUUUUUUUUUGAGACUGAGUCUGGCUCUGUCGCCCAGACUGGAGUGCAGUGGCCGGAUCUCAGCUCACUGCAAGCUCCGCCUCCCGGGUUUACGCCAUUCUCCUGCCUCAGCCUCCAGAGUAGCUGGGACCACAGGCGCCCGCCACCUCGCCCGGCUAGUUUUUUGUAUUUUUUUUUAGUAGAGACGGGGUUUCACCGUGUUAGCCAGGAUGGUCUCGAUCUCCUGACCUUGUGAUCCGCCCGUCUCAGCCUCCCAAAGUGCUGGGAUUACAGGCUUGAGCCACCGCGCCCGGCUCAUCUUCAAUCUUGUAUGUGUGAAUACCGCUCCCUGACUUCCUGAAAACAGGUAACAUCCACACGUGGAGAUUUCCCAUCUCUUGGAGCAGCAAACCCGUCUGAGGUGCCUGCAUAGCUCAGUUCCGGGGCUCCGGGGGCUGUGCCCACAGCCUCCCCGUCCUUCGGCUCCCACGUCAGGGUUCCCGGUCCACGCCGUGCUGUUCUGCAUCAAAUGUGACCGGAAAGUCACAGGUGGGUAAUUCAGGACUUAUUCAGGUCACAUGGUAUCACACACUGACUUAGUGCAAACACAUAUCUGAGGCACAGCUGUGGGACAAUGAAGUCACAGGUACCUCUGGAUCUGUUUUCUCUUCUGCAAAAUGGGGACACAUUUUCUAUCUCACAACAAAGUUACAGGACUAGUCAAGAUGAAUGUGAAAGCACCUUAUAAACUGGAAAGCAUUAAAAAAGCAUGUAACAUCCACUAUUAGUGUAAGAAUUCACAUGUAACACAAAGUAACAAUGUCGUUGUCUACAUAGCUUUAGGAAUCCUAUGCCAGGGAGGUGUGACAUUAAUGAAGUCAAGUCUCAUUUCCACAUAUACGCUCACGCCAGACUCUCAGUGCCACCAGCUAUCGCGAACUGUUGGCCUUUCAGACAGGCCUGUAGCAGAGAAUGCAAACUGGUCCACUGAUUUUCCGUUAUUUGUCCAUCAUGAAAUUAAAAGCUCUUUAAAACCUUUAGCUCACGAGAAAUCUAGGGGAUUUACAAUCACCAAACAGAACCUUUCCUAACAUUUCAACAAUGGUGUCCCUCUGCGGUUUUGAACUAAACCUGCAAACUGCUCCAGUGGCGACUGGGUUUCAACAGCUCUACGUGCGGAAACUUAAUAAAGUAUAAUUAGGUCUGCCACCCUGUAGGCUUCUAAAAUCCUACCUUGUAAUACAAAUAUACUCAACAUCCAAAUAUAAAUCACAAAAACAUUCGCUCAACCUACGUAGAUUUUUGAAAAUGAAGCACUCCAUUACAAAGGCUACAUUUCAAUCCAAGAUUUCAUUUUGCCAACGCACAACUAAACAGCUCGCCACCCUGCAGAGAACACACAGGAACUGCAGCUACCGAAGGGAAUGACCACAGGAAGGUUACACAGAGAGGAAGGCGGGCACCAUGGUACGGGGAGCCGGCUCCACAGAGAGGAAGGCGGGCAUCUUGGUGUGGGGAGUCAGCUACACAGAGAAGACGAUGGGCACCACGGUGCAGGAGCCAGCUCCACAGAAAGGAAGGCGGGCAUCUUGGUGUGGGGAGUCAGCUACACAGAGGAAGGCGGGCACCACGGUGCAGGAGCCGGCUCCGAUGAGCUGGACACAACUGGUGGCUGCCAAGAACUCCCCAC